UACGUAGGAGGCAAGCGUUGUCCGGAUUUAUUGGGCGUAAAGCGCUCGCAGGUUGUUCGUCUCGUCGUGCGUGAAAGACCCCGGCUCAACUGGGGGAGGUCGUGCGAUACGGGCGGACUGGAGGCCAGUAGGGGGAUGCGGAAUUCCGGGUGUAGUGGUGGAAUGCGUAGAGAUCCGGAGGAACACCAGCGGCGAAGGCGGCAUCCUGGACUGGUCCUGACACUCAUGAGCGAAAGCGUGGGGAGCGAGCCGG
RNAcentral lists this ribosomal RNA (253 nucleotides) under uncultured bacterium. RNAcentral's name for it is "partial 16S ribosomal RNA". It matches the Rfam family "Bacterial small subunit ribosomal RNA", at positions 524 to 776 of the family's 1533-position model. The record is from RNAcentral.